AAUCCAUAGGUUAAUGAGGCGAACCGGGGGAACUGAAACAUCUAAGUACCCCGAGGAAAAGAAAUCAACCGAGAUUCCCCCAGUAGCGGCGAGCGAACGGGGAGGAGCCCAGAGCCUGAAUCAGCAUGUGUGUUAGUGGAAGCGUCUGGAAAGGCGCGCGAUACAGGGUGACAGCCCCGUACACAAAAGCGCAUGUGCUGUGAGCUCGAUGAGUAGGGCGGGACACGUGGUAUCCUGUCUGAAUAUGGGGGGACCAUCCUCCAAGGCUAAAUACUCCUGACUGACCGAUAGUGAACCAGUACCGUGAGGGAAAGGCGAAAAGAACCCCGGCGAGGGGAGUGAAAAAGAACCUGAAACCGUGUACGUACAAGCAGUGGGAGCACCCUUUGGGUGUGACUGCGUACCUUUUGUAUAAUGGGUCAGCGACUUAUAUUCUGUAGCAAGGUUAACCGAAUAGGGGAGCCGGAGGGAAACCGAGUCUUAACCGGGCGUUAAGUUGCAGGGUAUAGACCCGAAACCCGGUGAUCUAGCCAUGGGCAGGUUGAAGGUUGGGUAACACUAACUGGAGGACCGAACCGACUAAUGUUGAAAAAUUAGCGGAUGACCUGUGGCUGGGGGUGAAAGGCCAAUCAAACCGGGAGAUAGCUGGUUCUCCCCGAAAGCUAUUUAGGUAGCGCCUCGUGAAUUCAUCUCCGGGGGUAGAGCACUGUUUCGGCUAGGGGGCCAUCCCGGCUUACCAACCCGAUGCAAACUGCGAAUACCGGAGAAUGUUAUCACGGGAGACACACGGCGGGUGCUAACGUCCGUCGUGAAGAGGGAAACAACCCAGACCGCCAGCUAAGGUCCCAAAGUCAUGGUUAAGUGGGAAACGAUGUGGGAAGGCCCAGACAGCCAGGAUGUUGGCUUAGAAGCAGCCAUCAUUUAAAGAAAGCGUAAUAGCUCACUGGUCGAGUCGGCCUGCGCGGAAGAUGUAACGGGGCUAAACCAUGCACCGAAGCUGCGGCAGCGACACUGUGUGUUGUUGGGUAGGGGAGCGUUCUGUAAGCCUGUGAAGGUGUGUCGUGAGGCAUGCUGGAGGUAUCAGAAGUGCGAAUGCUGACAUAAGUAACGAUAAAGCGGGUGAAAAGCCCGCUCGCCGGAAGACCAAGGGUUCCUGUCCAACGUUAAUCGGGGCAGGGUGAGUCGACCCCUAAGGCGAGGCCGAAAGGCGUAGUCGAUGGGAAACGGGUUAAUAUUCCCGUACUUGGUGUUACUGCGAAGGGGGGACGGAGAAGGCUAUGUUGGCCGGGCGACGGUUGUCCCGGUUUAAGCGUGUAGGUGUGUGUUCCAGGUAAAUCCGGUUCACUUUAACACUGAGGCGUGACGACGAGGCACUACGGUGCUGAAGCAACAAAUGCCCUGCUUCCAGGAAAAGCCUCUAAGCAUCAGGUAACAUCAAAUCGUACCCCAAACCGACACAGGUGGUCAGGUAGAGAAUACCAAGGCGCUUGAGAGAACUCGGGUGAAGGAACUAGGCAAAAUGGUGCCGUAACUUCGGGAGAAGGCACGCUGACACGUAGGUGAAGUGAUUUACUCAUGGAGCUGAAGUCAGUCGAAGAUACCAGCUGGCUGCAACUGUUUAUUAAAAACACAGCACUGUGCAAACACGAAAGUGGACGUAUACGGUGUGACGCCUGCCCGGUGCCGGAAGGUUAAUUGAUGGGGUCAGCGCAAGCGAAGCUCCUGAUCGAAGCCCCGGUAAACGGCGGCCGUAACUAUAACGGUCCUAAGGUAGCGAAAUUCCUUGUCGGGUAAGUUCCGACCUGCACGAAUGGCGUAAUGAUGGCCAGGCUGUCUCCACCCGAGACUCAGUGAAAUUGAACUCGCUGUGAAGAUGCAGUGUACCCGCGGCAAGACGGAAAGACCCCGUGAACCUUUACUAUAGCUUGACACUGAACAUUGAGCCUUGAUGUGUAGGAUAGGUGGGAGGCUUUGAAGUGUGGACGCCAGUCUGCAUGGAGCCGACCUUGAAAUACCACCCUUUAAUGUUUGAUGUUCUAACGUGGACCCGUUACCCGGGUUGCGGACAGUGUCUGGUGGGUAGUUUGACUGGGGCGGUCUCCUCCUAAAGAGUAACGGAGGAGCACGAAGGUUGGCUAAUCCUGGUCGGACAUCAGGAGGUUAGUGCAAUGGCAUAAGCCAGCUUGACUGCGAGCGUGACGGCGCGAGCAGGUGCGAAAGCAGGUCAUAGUGAUCCGGUGGUUCUGAAUGGAAGGGCCAUCGCUCAACGGAUAAAAGGUACUCCGGGGAUAACAGGCUGAUACCGCCCAAGAGUUCAUAUCGACGGCGGUGUUUGGCACCUCGAUGUCGGCUCAUCACAUCCUGGGGCUGAAGUAGGUCCCAAGGGUAUGGCUGUUCGCCAUUUAAAGUGGUACGCGAGCUGGGUUUAGAACGUCGUGAGACAGUUCGGUCCCUAUCUGCCGUGGGCGCUGGAGAACUGAGGGGGGCUGCUCCUAGUACGAGAGGACCGGAGUGGACGCAUCACUGGUGUUCGGGUUGUCAUGCCAAUGGCACUGCCCGGUAGCUAAAUGCGGAAGAGAUAAGUGCUGAAAGCAUCUAAGCACGAAACUUGCCCCGAGAUGAGUUCUCCCUGAGACUUUAGGUCUCCUGAAGGAACGUUGAAGACGACGACGUUGAUAGGCCGGGUGUGUAAGCGCAGCGAUGCGUUGAGCUAACCGGUACUAAUGAAC
This 2729-nucleotide ribosomal RNA is filed under the name Salmonella enterica subsp. enterica. RNAcentral describes it as "partial 23S ribosomal RNA". It matches the Rfam family "Bacterial large subunit ribosomal RNA". The record is from RNAcentral. Lineage: Bacteria; Pseudomonadati; Pseudomonadota; Gammaproteobacteria; Enterobacterales; Enterobacteriaceae.